Molecule: transfer RNA, 72 nt
Filed under: Novosphingobium sp. AAP83
Lineage: Bacteria; Pseudomonadati; Pseudomonadota; Alphaproteobacteria; Sphingomonadales; Sphingomonadaceae
Rfam family: tRNA
About the family: Transfer RNA (tRNA) molecules are approximately 80 nucleotides in length.
Source: Rfam by way of RNAcentral
GGGCGCGUAGCUCAGUGGUAGAGCACACCCUUCACACGGGUGGGGUCGCAGGUUCAAUCCCCGCCGCGCCCA